This 214-nucleotide ribosomal RNA is filed under the name Staphylococcus pseudintermedius. RNAcentral's name for it is "partial 23S ribosomal RNA". It matches the Rfam family "Bacterial large subunit ribosomal RNA", at positions 2710 to 2925 of the family's 2925-position model. The record is from RNAcentral. Lineage: Bacteria; Bacillati; Bacillota; Bacilli; Caryophanales; Staphylococcaceae.
UGGUGUACCAGUUGUCGUGCCAACGGCAUAGCUGGGUAGCUAUGUAUGGACGGGAUAAGUGCUGAAAGCAUCUAAGCAUGAAGCCCCCCUCGAGAUGAGAUUUCCCAACUUCGGUUAUAAGAUCCCUCAAAGAUGAUGAGGUGAAUAGGUUCGAGGUGGAAGCGUAGCGAUACGUGGAGCUGACGAAUACUAAUCGAUCGAAGACUUAAUCAAU